GACAGAGGUGCCGAGCGUUAGGCGGAAUCACUGGGCUUAAAGCGUGUGUAGGCGGACUUCUAAGUACCUUGUGAAAUCCCACGGCUCAACCGUGGAACUGCUUGGUAUACUGGUUGUCUUGAGCCACUUAGGGGCAGUCGGAACAGACGGUGGAGCGGUGAAAUGCGUUGAUAUCAUCAGGAACACCGGAGGCGAAGGCGGCUCACUGGGGAUUUUUUCUGACGCUGAGGAACGAAAGCCAGGGGAGCGAACGGGG
Molecule: ribosomal RNA, 256 nt
Filed under: uncultured bacterium
Lineage: Bacteria
Description: partial 16S ribosomal RNA
Rfam family: Bacterial small subunit ribosomal RNA
Source: RNAcentral